UGCUUAUCCUCCUCUAUAUAAGGAUGGAGAAGAGUCAGUUGUAAAAGAAGAACUACCUUUGAAAUAAUACAAAGGCUUUCCAUCUGGUUGAAAACUCUGGAUUAGCUUUGCCUCUGGUCCUGGUACUACUUCUUCUGUAGAUAAUGGCUGGAACAUCAUUUGAGUAGUAAAAACAGGAGGUGUUGAAAGCUGUUUUAGGUGACUGUGAUCAAAUCGGAUUUCACUAGUCCCAUCAGCUUUUGUUGUGAUUUGACUUCCGGUGGAUUUAAUCGGCUGGCUAUGUUGGUGGAUCUGCUCGUAGUUGGUCACCCAUUUUUCUGAGAUUAAAAGAGAAUCUUCAGAUCCUUGAUUUGUCAGCUUGAAGGCAUGAUCUUGGACCCUAUACACUAUUUGAUAGUGCAGGGUUGCAGUUACCGCCGAUUCAACCAUUUCUGCUCCAAUAAUCUGGAUCUGGACCUUAAGAGCAUCAAACAAAUUGGGAUCUUGCAGGGACAUGGUAAAGUUGGGGAACAGAGUUACUAUGGCCAUUCCCGAGCUUAAAGUUGCUUCUACUGUUCCAAUACAGGCAUCCUGGUAGCGUUUGUAUCUGGAAUCUAACAAAGCAAUUCUGGAUACUACAGGUUUCCCUGAAGUUCCGUGAUAAUUUAACGCCAAUCAGACUGCUCCAAAAUGGAUAUGAGAAUAUCCAUGUUGACUCCAUUGUUGUGGAAAAUGAGAGGGAAUCUCUAAAGUGACAAAUUGUUCUUCUUGGCCUCCAUAGAUAAGAUGUUUGUCAAAUUUAGAGGACUGGACAUAUUCUUUAACAUUUCUUCUUCUGGUAGUUAUAAGAGACUUUAUACUUUUUACAGGAGAAAAAGAGGGUUUUUGGUAAGCGGAGUAUGGGUUUACUAAAGGAAGAUUAGUAGCCUGGAUUUUUCUUCCUCUGUGAAAUAUUCAACUUCAUAGAGGGAGGAGAUUCUUCUAGCAGAAUGAGAACGGAAAGGGGAUUCUGGUAAUGAAAUUGGGGCUUUUGUAGUAGAUAACCUAGGAGAUUCUAUGAAAUUUUCAAAAAACUCUCAUCUUACUUGAUUGUAGUCUUUCUGAUUGAAAGAAAAUCUGAACUUUUUCGCGCUCUGAUACCAAUAAAGGGCAGGUGAGUAAGAAGCAAGAGAUCAGCAAUUAACGAUUCUUAACAGCAGGUAUGCUAUGCCAAAACACAGGCCUUUUCAAUCCUUUUGGCCAUCAACAAGGCACUGCCUUUUAGCUGUUAAAAUUCUUUAAUCACUGAACUCCUUCUUCAAACUCAUCUGAACCUAAUAGUACCUUCUAUCAGGUUUAAUUUCUGAUGUGCAGGAUCCAUAAUUAUGGCAAGCACAGAGCAUACUCUUAAACUUUUGAGAGAUUUUCUUCCACAGAAAUCCUAUUUUCAAGUAAGAAGAGAUGAGAGGAAUUUAGAAAGCCAUAGAUUUUUUAAAACUCGUCUGGGUUUUAUUUCAAAGGUAGUUCUUCUUUUACAACCGACUCUUCUCCAUCCUUAUAUAGAGGAGGAUAAGCAGAUAAGGAGGAAUCUGCUUUUACAUUUUUACAGACACAAAGGACAUGACUCAUUCAUAAAGGACAUUAGCAGAUAAGAAAGAAUCUGCUUUUACAUUUUUACAGACAUAAAGGACAUGACUCCUUCAUAAAGGACAUUAGCAGAUAAGGAGGAAUCUGCUUUUAUAUUAACCUAUCUAUUAUUGAUACGUCUGUAUCUGUAUCAUAGUAUGUAUCAAUAUCAGAGGUGAUGUUGAGUUCUUCCA
Molecule: long non-coding RNA, 1778 nt
Organism: Gossypium raimondii (Peruvian cotton)
Lineage: Eukaryota; Viridiplantae; Streptophyta; Magnoliopsida; Malvales; Malvaceae
Exons: 2
Source: RefSeq, a predicted model, not a curated record